UUUUUCAUGAAACGGGAGUAAAGUAGUAAACUUACAGGAACAACGUGGGUCUCUGCUCCCUGAUCUGUUUCCUGUGUUUGGAAAGAGUUCCAGCUUCAUCACGGAGUUUCUCUCGGUUUGUGGGCUCGUCUAAAGCUGAGUAACAGGAGAAGAGUCUGGUGGAGCAACAGAGGAACAAUUUCAGCCAUUUGGACUCAGCUCAGCCACUACAGAGGAAAAAAUGACUUCAACACAGAAGGACCAACAUGGAGCGAGAAGUCAGCGCU
Non-coding RNA from Maylandia zebra (zebra mbuna), 266 nucleotides. The record is from RefSeq and is a predicted model, not a curated record. NCBI's taxonomy places the organism in Eukaryota, Metazoa, Chordata, Actinopteri, Cichliformes, Cichlidae.